UACAGGGGGUGCAAACGUUGCUCGGAAUCAUUGGGCGUAAAGCGCACGUAGGCGGUCUGUUAUGUCGGAUGUGAAAGCCCUUGGCUUAACUGAGGAAGUGCAUCCGAAACUGGCAGGCUAGAGUACUAAAGAGGGUCGCGGAAUUCCCGGUGUAGCAGUGAAAUGCGUAGAGAUCGGGAGGAACACCAGUGGCGAAGGCGGCUACCUGGACCAGCACUGACACUGAGGCACGAAAGCGUGGGGAGCAAACAGG
RNAcentral lists this ribosomal RNA (253 nucleotides) under uncultured bacterium. Its description in RNAcentral is "partial 16S ribosomal RNA". It matches the Rfam family "Bacterial small subunit ribosomal RNA", at positions 524 to 776 of the family's 1533-position model. The record is from RNAcentral.